UGACCUCGGAUCAGGUAGGAGUUACCCGCUGAACUUAAGCAUAUCAAUAAGCGGAGGAAAAGAAACCAACCGGGAUUGCCUCAGUAACGGCGAGUGAAGCGGCAAGAGCUCAAAUUUGAAAUCUGGCCCCUUUGGGGUCCGAGUUGUAAUUUGCAGAGGAUGCUUCGGGUGCGGUCCCCAUCUAAGUGCCCUGGAACGGGCCGUCAUAGAGGGUGAGAAUCCCGUCUGGGAUGGGCGGCCGCGCCCGUGUGAAGCUCCUUCGACGAGUCGAGUUGUUUGGGAAUGCAGCUCUAAGCGGGUGGUAAAUUUCAUCUAAAGCUAAAUACUGGCCGGAGACCGAUAGCGCACAAGUAGAGUGAUCGAAAGAUGAAAAGCACUUUGAAAAGAGAGUUAAACAGCACGUGAAAUUGUUGAAAGGGAAGCGUUGUCCACCAGACUCGCCCGGGGGGGCUCAGCCGGCACGUGUGCCGGUGUACUCCUCUCCGGGCGGGCCAGCAUCGGUUUGGGCGGCUGGUGAAAGGCCCCGGGAAUGUAACACCCUCCGGGGUGCCUUAUAGCCCGGGGUGCCAUGCAGCCAGCCUGGACCGAGGCCCGCGCUUCGGCGAGGAUGCUGGCGUAAUGGUGGUCAACGGCCCGUCUUGAAACACGGACCAAGGAGUCUAACAUCUAUGCGAGUGUUCGGGUGUCAAACCCGUCCGCGCAGUGAAAGCGAACGGAGGUGGGAGCCCCUCGGGGCGCACCAUCGACCGAUCCUGAUGUCUUCGGAUGGAUUUGAGUAAGAGCAUAGCUGUUGGGACCCGAAAGAUGGUGAACUAUGCCUGAAUAGGGCGAAGCCAGAGGAAACUCUGGUGGAGGCUCGCAGCGGUUCUGACGUGCAAUCGAUCGUCAAUU
RNAcentral lists this non-coding RNA (891 nucleotides) under Talaromyces marneffei ATCC 18224. Its description in RNAcentral is "Penicillium marneffei ATCC 18224 Eukaryotic large subunit ribosomal RNA". It matches the Rfam family "Eukaryotic large subunit ribosomal RNA", at positions 1 to 910 of the family's 3401-position model. The record is from Rfam by way of RNAcentral. Lineage: Eukaryota; Fungi; Ascomycota; Eurotiomycetes; Eurotiales; Trichocomaceae.